Molecule: small nuclear RNA, 107 nt
Filed under: Microcebus murinus (gray mouse lemur)
Lineage: Eukaryota; Metazoa; Chordata; Mammalia; Primates; Cheirogaleidae
Source: RNAcentral
GUGCUUGUUUGGCAACACAUAUACUAAAACUGGAACAAUAAAGAAAAGAUUAGCAUGGCCUCUGAGUAAGUAUGACAUGCAAAAUUUGUGAAGCAUUACAUAUUUUU